RNAcentral lists this unclassified non-coding RNA (329 nucleotides) under soil metagenome. RNAcentral's name for it is "partial contains 5.8S ribosomal RNA, internal transcribed spacer 2, and large subunit ribosomal RNA". The stretch from base 1 to 120 matches the Rfam family "5.8S ribosomal RNA", at positions 35 to 154 of the family's 154-position model. The record is from RNAcentral.
GAUGAAGAACGCAGCGAAAUGCGAUAAGUAAUGUGAAUUGCAGAAUUCAGUGAAUCAUCGAAUCUUUGGACGCACAUUGCGCCCCUUGGUAUUCCGAGGGGCAUGCCUGUUCGAGCGUCAUUAUAACCCCUCAAGCUCAGCUUGGUGUUGGGGCCUGCUGCACUGGCAGCCCUUAAAAUCAGUGGCGGCGCCAUCUGGCUCUAAGCGUAGUAAUUCUUCUCGCUAUGGAGUCCUGGUGGAUGCUUGCCAUCAACCCCCAAUUUUUCUAUGGUUGACCUCGGAUCAGGUAGGGAUACCCGCUGAACUUAAGCAUAUCAAUAAGCGGAGGA